Molecule: ribosomal RNA, 557 nt
Filed under: Colletotrichum gloeosporioides
Lineage: Eukaryota; Fungi; Ascomycota; Sordariomycetes; Glomerellales; Glomerellaceae
Description: eukaryotic LSU rRNA
Rfam family: 5.8S ribosomal RNA (bases 191-344)
Source: RNAcentral
CCUGCGGAGGGAUCAUUACUGAGUUUACGCUCUACAACCCUUUGUGAACAUACCUAUAACUGUUGCUUCGGCGGGUAGGGUCUCCGUGACCCUCCCGGCCUCCCGCCCCCGGGCGGGUCGGCGCCCGCCGGAGGAUAACCAAACUCUGAUUCAACGACGUUUCUUCUGAGUGGUACAAGCAAAUAAUCAAAACUUUUAACAACGGAUCUCUUGGUUCUGGCAUCGAUGAAGAACGCAGCGAAAUGCGAUAAGUAAUGUGAAUUGCAGAAUUCAGUGAAUCAUCGAAUCUUUGAACGCACAUUGCGCCCGCCAGCAUUCUGGCGGGCAUGCCUGUUCGAGCGUCAUUUCAACCCUCAAGCUCUGCUUGGUGUUGGGGCCCUACAGCUGAUGUAGGCCCUCAAAGGUAGUGGCGGACCCUCCCGGAGCCUCCUUUGCGUAGUAACUUUACGUCUCGCACUGGGAUCCGGAGGGACUCUUGCCGUAAAACCCCCCAAUUUUCCAAAGGUUGACCUCGGAUCAGGUAGGAAUACCCGCUGAACUUAAGCAUAUCAAUAAGG